RNAcentral lists this ribosomal RNA (617 nucleotides) under uncultured bacterium. RNAcentral's name for it is "bacterial SSU rRNA". It matches the Rfam family "Bacterial small subunit ribosomal RNA", at positions 125 to 731 of the family's 1533-position model. The record is from RNAcentral.
CCUGCCUUUUAGUUUGGGAUACCCAGAGGAAACUUUGGUUAAUACCGGAUAUGAGUUUUAGAGGCAUCUCUAGAAUUUGAAAGGAGCUUCGGCUCCGCUUUAAGAUGGACCUGCGGCGCAUUAGCUAGUUGGUGAGAUAACAGCCCACCAAGGCUUGGAUGCGUAGCCGAUCUGAGAGGAUGAACGGCCACAUUGGAACUGAGACACGGUCCAAACUCCUACGGGAGGCAGCAGUAAGGAAUUUUCGGCAAUGGGGGAAACCCUGACCGAGCAACGCCGCGUGAGUGAUGAAGGUCUUCGGAUCGUAAAGCUCUGUUGUUGGGGACGAACGAUACUCUUAGGAAAUGAAGAGUAUUUGACGGUACCCGAUUAGAAAGCCACGGCUAACUACGUGCCAGCAGCCGCGGUAAUACGUAGGUGGCAAGCGUUAUCCGGAAUUAUUGGGCGUAAAGAGUGAGCAGGCGGCAGUUUAAGUCUGGAGUGAAAGCGUGAGGCUCAACCUCAUACAGCUUCAGAAACUGAACAGCUAGAGUACGGGAGAAGUAAGUGGAACUCCAUGUGUAUCGGUGAAAUGCGUACAUAUAUGGAAUAACACCAGUGGCGAAGGCGACUUACUA